RNAcentral lists this ribosomal RNA (252 nucleotides) under uncultured Sulfobacillus sp. RNAcentral's name for it is "partial 16S ribosomal RNA". It matches the Rfam family "Bacterial small subunit ribosomal RNA", at positions 524 to 776 of the family's 1533-position model. The record is from RNAcentral. Lineage: Bacteria; Bacillati; Bacillota; Clostridia; Eubacteriales; Clostridiales Family XVII. Incertae Sedis.
GACGUAGGGGGCAAGCGUUGUCCGGAAUGACUGGGCGUAAAGGGCGUGUAGGCGGCACGGUACGUGGGGCCAACAAGGCGGCGGCUCAACCGCCGCAGCGGUGCCAAACGGCUGCGCUGGAGGGCAGGAGAGGUGCGCGGAAUUCCCGGUGGAGCGGUGAAAUGCGUAGAGAUCGGGAAGAACACCCGUGGCGAAGGCGGCGCACUGGCCUGGCCCUGACGCUGAGGCGCGACAGCGUGGGGAGCGAACGGG